Molecule: non-coding RNA, 23 nt
Filed under: Drosophila melanogaster (fruit fly)
Lineage: Eukaryota; Metazoa; Arthropoda; Insecta; Diptera; Drosophilidae
Also listed under: 35 other names
Source: RNAcentral
UGUCAGUUUGUCAAAUACCCCAA